Metarhizium anisopliae BRIP 53293 is the source of this 2455-nucleotide ribosomal RNA. It matches the Rfam family "Bacterial large subunit ribosomal RNA". Lineage: Eukaryota; Fungi; Ascomycota; Sordariomycetes; Hypocreales; Clavicipitaceae. The record is from Rfam.
UAUAAGUAUAUAAAGGAACUAUUAUGGAAUUUAAGCUAUGUAUUAAAGAGAAUUAGUUAUAUAAAUAAGAUAAAGAUCUUAUAAGUAUAUAAACUCUAAGAGAAAUCUAAUACUAAACGAAGUGAAUUGAAAUAUCUUAGUAACUUCAGGAAAAGAAAUCAAAAGAGAUUCUAUGAAUAGCGUGAGCGAAAGUAGAGGAGCCUAAAAAGUAGAACGGUAUCAAAACUGUUUAAACAUUGGGGAACCUUCCUCAAAGGCUAAAUAUAAUACAUAAGCGAUAGUGAAAAGUACCAUGAGGGAACAAAAACAAAAAUAGUAGUUUUAUAAGCAGUUCGAUAAAAAGAACGUACCUUUUGCAUAAUGGGUCACCAAGUUAACAUUAGAUGCGAGCUGUAUUAGCAUGCGUAGUCAAACCGAACGUUAAAAUAACGAAUAAGUGUCUAAAGUUAGACCCGAAGCCAGGUGAUUUUACCAUAGUCAGGAUUAUAAAAGUCCGAACGGGUGAUUGUAGCAAAAAUCUCCGAAGAACUGUGGUAGGUGUAGUGAAAGACAACACUGACUUGGAUAGCUGGUUUUCUGCGAAACCUAUAAUAGUAGGCAAUUUAAAUAAACAUCUUAGCAGGUACAGAAUUUAAUCUCAGACAAGGCGUUUUAUACGUUUUAUAUUGUACAAAUUGGGGGACCAUGAAGGUUUUAUCAGUGAGUAUGUAGACUCGGAAUGGCAAAGAUGUAUUUUGAAUGAUCAGACAUAGAAUGAUAAGGUUGUAUGUCGAAAGGGAAACAGCCCAGAACAAGAGUUAAGGUUCCUAAAUUAUUAGUUGAGUGAAAUUAAGAAGGUUUUUAUUAAAGUCGACAAGGAGAUAGGCUUAGAAGCAGCCAUAAUUUUAUGACCUCGUAACAGAGCGCUUGUUAAGUUAUAAAAGCAUCGAAAAUAUAACGGAUCUAAACAAUAUACCGAAACCUUGUCCAUUAUAUAUUAUAAUAUUAUUAUUAUUAUAAUUCAAUGGGGUAGCAGAACGUUGAGCUAAAUUAUGAGUUUUAUUUUUUAAAUAGAAUGAUAACGAUUUAACUCAAGUGAGAAUGGUGACAUGAGUAACUAAAAGAAAAUUUUCCGCCUUAAGCUUAUGGAUAUAUUUAAGUAACGGCCUCUAAGUUUAUAUUAUCUAAAGAUUUAAACGAUGAGAAAAUCUUUUUUACUAAGGACGACAUUUUAGUGUAAAAUGUACUGGAAAAAUAGUAAAUAUAUUUAUAGUUAGCUUAGCUUCUAUAAAUGAAGAAUAACCGUACCUAGAAUCUGAAACAAGUAAGCUAGUAGAGAAUACGAAGGCGUAAAUGAGCUAACAAUCAUAAAGGAACUCGGCAAAUUGACUACCGUAACUUCGGAAUAAGGAGGGCUCAUUAUUCUUGAUUAAUAUCAAGUAAAGAGGAAGAAGCAUGAAAUAAUGUUGUACGACUGUUUAAUUAAAACACAGCACUCUGCUGAAAGAUUAAAAAUCUAAGUAUAGAGUGUGAUAUCUGCCCGGUGCCGGCUGGUUAACAGAGAUAAUUGAAUAUACUACUAUUUGAUGUCGACGGAAACCCCGGUUAAAGGCGGCCUUAACGUGAGGGUCCUAAGGUAGCGAAAUGCCUUGGCCGUUAAAUGCGGUCUUGCAUGAAUGGUGUAACGAUACAACAGCUGUCUCUAUGAUUGACUCAGUGAAAUUGGAAUAGCAGUGCAGAUACUGCUUACCUCUAGUUAGACGAGAAGACCCUAUGCAGCUUUACUGUCACUAAUUAUAGAUUAUGAUAGACAAUUUUCAGAUUAUAAGGUAAUUGAUUUAUGACAAUGAGAAACCUUUAUUUUUCUUUCAUAUGAAUGAAUUGGUUUAGGAGUAUAAGUAGAUUGUAAUUUAUGUGGCUUUACUGAGCCAAUUUGUUAAAUUAUAGUCUGUAUGCUUAUACUAGUAGAUCAGCCUAAUUCAACUUAUUAUAUUUAUUAUAGUAAGUACCCUUUGGUAAGGAACUAUCGCUAGGGGACAGUUUAUGUGGGGCACAGACCCUGUAAAGAGUAAACAGGAGUGUCUAAAAAUUUAUAAAUAUUUUGUUUGCUAUUUUGAAUAGUUUAACUAUUCUUAAUCAUAUACAAUUAAUUAUAUUUGCAUUUAUUGUAAAUAUAGUUAAGAUUAGGUAGGAUUUUCACUAUAUAGAAAUUAGAGAUAAUAAAGAUAUUAUGGAAACUCUUCUAAUAUCUUUUAGCUAUCUUUUAGAUAGUUAUGUUUACAAUAUCUAAAAAGCUCAACGGCUUAAUCCUGCCUUACUGUUUGAUUAUCUACAAAUCUUACAGUUGCGUAAGCAGGGCAUAGGAUCACAAGAUGCAACAAGGAAAGAUCUUGGAUUAUUGGAAAAGCUACGCUAGGGAUGUUUGUCCUUUAAUAUUUUAUAUUGUACAGUUGGCGAAAGCUAUAACUCUUGUUAC